UCCCGUGUGGCUCAGUUGGUAGAGCAUGGCGCAUGCAACGCCAGGGUUGUUUGUUUGAUUCCCAUGGGAG
Non-coding RNA from Salmo salar (Atlantic salmon), 70 nucleotides. Lineage: Eukaryota; Metazoa; Chordata; Actinopteri; Salmoniformes; Salmonidae. The record is from Rfam.